Arabidopsis thaliana (thale cress) is the source of this 518-nucleotide long non-coding RNA. RefSeq annotates it as other RNA. The record is from RefSeq. NCBI's taxonomy places the organism in Eukaryota, Viridiplantae, Streptophyta, Magnoliopsida, Brassicales, Brassicaceae. The transcript has a single exon.
AUGCUUGCACUUUGACUUAUCGAGUUCUUUCUUGAGUGCCUUGAGAUCUUCAUGAUAGACCGGACACCGAUCCACUCCACCGCCGCAUGAGCAGUUUUUGAGGUUUGGCGAUUUCUUGAGGCGUCGAUUUUCCAUGUCUUCGAGAAUUAGCUCACGACGUUCCGCAAGAAGGUCCGGUAAUAUGCCGUCGAUGAGACAAAACAAAAACAAACCGAUGGCUGCAAUGGCAAAUACCAAAUCCGCUGUAUCCACUGUCAAUGCCAUUACUCCCCCUGAUUCACAACAAAUAAACUUCUAGCUAAGGAGAUAUCUAAGAAACUUGGACAAGAUAUGUAUUAAUAUAUAUAACUAAGAUUUGGAUGACUUCGAAUUUCUUCCGAUGUGGUUCAGUUUUGGAUUUAGUUUCCUGAAUUUAAUAUACAAAUACAAUCCUAUCCCCACUCUAAUUAAACCUAAACCCUUAUCAAAUAUUGCAAGAAAUAAAAUAACAACUGACCCCGAAAAAACAUCACUCAUGA